GGGGACCCGCAGACUUGCCCAGCCCAUAGCUAGGGCACUUUUUUGAACUUUAUGAAAAGUGGUACCAAGUGUCAAUUUUCAUUGCUGUCAGAAAAUCUUAAAGGAAAUGUUUCCCAUCGAGGCAGGAGAAAUCAACCCCGAGAACAGGAUCAUCCCGCACCUCCCCGCUCCGCGCUGGUUCGAUGGGCAGCGCGCCGCCGAGAACCGCCAGGGGGACGCUGUCCGAGUACUGCUCCUCGCUCAUGGCUCUGCCCCCCAAGAUCUCCCGCGGCCCGCACAUGCUGGGCUUCUUCAAGGUGCGGCCCGACGACCUGCAGCUGCCCGGGGGACAGCCCGUGAGUGGCCCAGAGACCUACCUGGUGCCCAAGGACGGCAAGAGCAGCGCCGCUGACAUCACGGGCCCCAUCAUCCUGCAGAGCUACCGAGCCAUCGCCGACUACCAGAAGACUUCGGGCUCGAGAUGGCUCUGAGCAUGGGCGACGGGUGGAAGUCGUGGAGAAGAGCGAGGCGGCUGGUGGUUCUGCCAAAUGAAGGCAAAGCGUGGCUGGGUCCCGGCAUCCUUUUUGGAGCCCCUGGACAGUCCUGAUGAGGCUGAGGAACCAGAGCCCAACUAUGCAGGUGAGCCCUACGUCACCAUCAAAGCCUACACUGCUGUGGAGGAGGAUGAGGUGACCCUGUCCGAGGGGGAGGCCAUUGAGGUCAUCCAUAAGCUCCUGGACGGCUGGUGGGUGGUCAGAAAGGAGGACAUCACCGGCUACUUCCCGUCCAUGUACCUGCAGAAGGCGGGCCACGACGUGGCGCAGGCGCAGCGCCAGAUCAAGGGCCGAGGGGCGCCGCCUCGCCGGUGAGCGAGGGUCCUCGGGGCCGGGUGUGGGGGGCGGGCCCGGCGCGGACGCUGGGAGCGGCCAGGGCCCCGGUGACCUCGGAUCUCACUGGCCUGAGGUCGACCAUCCGCAACGCGCACAGCAUCCACCAGCGGUCGCGGAACCGCCUCACCCAGGACACCUACCGCCGCAACAGCGUGCGCUUCCUGCAGCAGCGGCGCGGCCAGGGCGCGGCCCGCACCGCAGAAGGAGAAUCCACGGAGUCAACGUGGGAAGCCGCAGCCAGCGGUGCCCCCGAGACCCAGCGCCGAAGUCAUCCUGCACCGCUGCAGCCGAGAGCACCAAGCGAGCUGGCGUCCGCUGUCUCCGUGUGAGGCCAGGUGCGGUCGCCUGCCGGCCCCAUCCUUGUAUAUUCGUGUGUAUAGCCUGCAGUCGGUGCCCUGGAGCCCUCAGCCCAGGAGAUCAUCCACAUUCUCAAUAAACGUUGCUUGGAGUGAACAGAGGCCCUGAGCGUUGGGUGGGGUGGGGUCUGUCCCAGAGACCCCACUUCCACCAACUGGGAAUUGAAACCAGAGCCUUCACACUGAGUUACAUUCUCAGCUCUUUUUUUUAAAUUUUUUGAGACAGAAUCUCUACGUUGCCCAGGCUGGGCUCGAGACCUUCGACCCUCCUGCCUCAGCCUCCCAGAGUGCUGGAUUUCAGGCAUGUGCCACCACUCCUGGGCAUGGGGAUAUUUCUGAAUGACAGGGGCCAGUGAGCUCCGCUGGGUGCUGGGUGCAAGCGGCAGCAGCAGGGGUCCCUGCUUGCACACUUCCUUGCUCUCGGCCAGGAACAGGUAUGCAGAAGGCCAAGAGCAAAGGGAGUCCCAGUCCCAGACCUUUAGCCUGGACAGAGGCCCCUGCUCGAUGGAGCUCUGCCCCCAGGGGCGGUGAGCACAAGCGCAGUAGGAGACUGGCUGUGUCCAGGGCGGGGCCACGCGGCCCCGAAGGAAAGCAAAGACACGCAGGUACAGAGGGUCCCCGCCACUCCGCUGUUCCUGCCCACCUAGGAGGCUGUGACAGAGCCACAUUCACGGAGCCGGGACCCCAGCACCGCCGCCGAACUGUGUUCGGCCUCAGAGCCACUGCUGGGGGCUCUGUCCCGCCACGGUGCAGAGCGGAACUGCAGAGGACACAAUUUGUAGUGAAGGCCACCCCAAGUGGCACAAGGCGCUGCUCCCCAGCUCGGGCAGUGGCUGUGAGGUGGACAAGGCCGGUCCCCUUAGAGGUGAGACACAAUCACGCGGACGGACGCUUCUGGAGAGAAUGUUCUGUCAAGAGGGUUGGGAGAGCCCUUCGGGGCCGGGACUUCGCAGGCCCUUCCUUCGUGGGAAAGUCUGGCAUCAACCGCUACCACAGAGCUAUGGGGAAAUGAAUAGACCCUGCCUGAUCACUGGCGCCUACGACCUUAUAAUUCUACGCAGAAUAAGCUACUUUCAUCGUUUUUAAUUUUUUUUUCCUAAGCUGAAACCCUUAGCAAAGCCUCGCUCCCGCGGUUUUUCCCUAUUUCCGGUCCCCAGGAAGCGGCCUUGCGUCAGUGCCAGCCUCUCCGUGUGGUUAGGAAGAGAUGUCCCCAGGGCCCGGGAGGGACAAGACCACAGGUGCCGGCUCUGUCAGAGUUGCCGCCACCGCCAGCCAUUUCCUCGAGGCUGGACUCAGUUCCGAAUCUCUAGUUCUGGGAGCAACAUUGGCAGGUGGGGAUUUUACAGGUGAGGAAACCAAAGCUCAGAAAAGGUAGGUGAUUUGCAUACACAAGAAGGGGACAGGGCUAGGAAGCGGAGCCAGG
Long non-coding RNA from Heterocephalus glaber (naked mole-rat), 2648 nucleotides. NCBI's taxonomy places the organism in Eukaryota, Metazoa, Chordata, Mammalia, Rodentia, Bathyergidae. The record is from Ensembl.